UACGAAGGGGGCUAGCGUUGUUCGGAAUUACUGGGCGUAAAGCGCACGUAGGCGGAUUUGUAAGUUAGAGGUGAAAGCCCGGGGCUCAACCCCGGAAUUGCCUUUAAGACUGCAUCGCUAGAAUUGUGGAGAGGUAAGUGGAAUUCCGAGUGUAGAGGUGAAAUUCGUAGAUAUUCGGAAGAACACCAGUGGCGAAGGCGACUCGCUGGACAAGUAUUGACGCUGAGGUGCGAAAGCGUGGGGAGCAAACAGG
This 253-nucleotide ribosomal RNA is filed under the name uncultured bacterium. RNAcentral's name for it is "partial 16S ribosomal RNA". It matches the Rfam family "Bacterial small subunit ribosomal RNA", at positions 524 to 776 of the family's 1533-position model. The record is from RNAcentral.